This 253-nucleotide ribosomal RNA is filed under the name uncultured bacterium. Its description in RNAcentral is "partial 16S ribosomal RNA". It matches the Rfam family "Bacterial small subunit ribosomal RNA", at positions 524 to 776 of the family's 1533-position model. The record is from RNAcentral.
UACAGAGGGUGCGAGCGUUGUCCGGAAUCACUGGGCGUAAAGGGCGCGUAGGUGGCCCGACAAGUCCGUGGUGAAAGCUCGACGCUCAACGUCGAGUCGGCCAUGGAUACUGUUGGGCUGGAGCACUGUAGAGGCUCAUGGAAUUCCGGGUGUAGCGGUGGAAUGCGUAGAGAUCCGGAAGAACAUCAGUGGCGAAGGCGGUCUGCUGGGCCGUUGCUGACGCUGAGGCGCGACAGCGUGGGGAGCAAACAGG